CCUACGGGAGGCAGCAGUAGGGAAUCUUCCACAAUGGGCGAAAGCCUGAUGGAGCAACGCCGCGUGGGUGAAGAAGGUCUUCUGAUCGUAAAACCCUGUUGUUAGAGAAGAAAGUGCGUGAGAGUAACUGUUCACGUUUCGACGGUAUCUAACCAGAAAGCCACGGCUAACUACGUGCCAGCAGCCGCGGUAAUACGUAGGUGGCAAGCGUUAUCCGGAUUUAUUGGGCGUAAAGGGAACGCAGGCGGUCUUUUAAGUCUGAUGUGAAAGCCUUCGGCUUAACCGGAGUAGUGCAUUGGAAACUGGGAGACUUGAGUGCAGAAGAGGAGAGUGGAACUCCAUGUGUAGCGGUGAAAUGCGUAGAUAUAUGGAAGAACACCAGUGGCGAAAGCGGCUCUCUGGGCUGUAACUGACGCUGAGGUUCGAAAGCGUGGGUAGCAAACAGGAUUAGAUACCCGAGUAGUC
RNAcentral lists this ribosomal RNA (465 nucleotides) under uncultured bacterium. Its description in RNAcentral is "partial 16S ribosomal RNA". It matches the Rfam family "Bacterial small subunit ribosomal RNA", at positions 338 to 795 of the family's 1533-position model. The record is from RNAcentral.